Molecule: long non-coding RNA, 428 nt
Organism: Protobothrops mucrosquamatus (brown spotted pit viper)
Lineage: Eukaryota; Metazoa; Chordata; Lepidosauria; Squamata; Viperidae
Exons: 2
Source: RefSeq, a predicted model, not a curated record
AUCAAUCCGUUUGAAAGCCAGGCGCUGCUUCCGCUUCUAAGGCAGACCGGCUUACCGGAAGUGCAUCAAGGCUGCAAGCACGUGAGAACUAGACAAGAAACGGGGUCUGGGACCGGAGAAGUUAUUUAUUUUGCUGCUUCUGAUUCUUUCGCUCGUGACCCUUCUUUUCUACCUCAAGAGGACAUCGGAGAGGAAAGGAAGAUGUUUGAAAAUCAUAGGAGGAUAUGUGAGCCAAUUGGAUAUGCUGUGGAUAAUGUAACAUGACAAGAGCCACAUGUUCAACCAUCCUAUAACUCCCCAUCUUCUCACGCCUUUCCCUAUUUUCCCUUGACCACUGCUAAUGUCUAUGGCAGAAGGGUAUUAUGCCUUUAAGGCUCAUUGUUAGCAGAUGCCUCUGAGCUGAAUAAACAUGAUUUAAGUUCUACACA